GCAAACUUGGUCAUUUAGAGGAAGUAAAAGUCGUAACAAGGUCUCCGUUGGUGAACCAGCGGAGGGAUCAUUAAUGAGUUACCAAACUCCAAAACCCUUUGUGAACCUUACCGUCGUUUCCUCGGCGCGUGCUGCGGUUACCCUGUAGCUACCCUGGAGACACCUACCCUGUAGGUGUCUACCCUGGAGCUACCCUGUAGCCGCGUGAAGGCCCGCCGCAGGACCAUUAAACUCUUGUUUUUACAGCUGUAUCUCUGAAUACUUAACUGAAAUAAGUUAAAACUUUCAACAACGGAUCUCUUGGUUCUGGCAUCGAUGAAGAACGCAGC
This 329-nucleotide unclassified non-coding RNA is filed under the name uncultured fungus. RNAcentral's name for it is "partial contains small subunit ribosomal RNA, internal transcribed spacer 1, and 5.8S ribosomal RNA". The stretch from base 1 to 73 matches the Rfam family "Eukaryotic small subunit ribosomal RNA", at positions 1759 to 1831 of the family's 1831-position model. Lineage: Eukaryota; Fungi. The record is from RNAcentral.